UCUAAGGAUGAAUGAAAGUAAAAUUUCAUUCUAAAUAAUAUACAUCGGUAAUGUUGACCGUCCUCAUUUCUCUUCUUAAAGUAGUGUUUCUCUUGCAUGGGGGCCGGUAGCUCAGUUGGUUAGAGCACACCCUUGAUAAGGGUGGGGUCGAAAGUUCGAGUCUUUCUCGGCCCACCAAUAUAAGAUCAUGGGGGAUUAGCUCAGCUGGGAGAGCGCCUGAUUUGCAUUCAGGAGGUCAGCGGUUCGAUCCCGCUAUCCUCCACCAAAAACACUUAGUUAUAAAAAUAGUAAAUAAAAAUAAUAAUUAAUAUCAAUAUCUAUAUCCGAACAUUAGUAAUGUUAUUAGCUAAUGUUCAAAAUAAAAAUUUGAUUCAACACAGAAUUUUUUUCUG
RNAcentral lists this transfer RNA (392 nucleotides) under bacterium HTCC7215. Its description in RNAcentral is "partial 16S-23S ribosomal RNA intergenic spacer". The stretch from base 101 to 174 matches the Rfam family "tRNA". The record is from RNAcentral.